GACGAACGCUGGCGGCGUGCUUAACACAUGCAAGUCGAACGGAAAGGCUUCUUUCGGGGGGUACUCGAGUGGCGAACGGGUGAGUAACACGUGAGUAACCUGCCCUUGACUUUGGGAUAACUUCAGGAAACUGGGGCUAAUACCGGAUAGGAGCUCCUGCUGCAUGGUGGGGGUUGGAAAGUUUCGGCGGUUGGGGAUGGACUCGCGGCUUAUCAGCUUGUUGGUGGGGUAGUGGCUUACCAAGGCUUUGACGGGUAGCCGGCCUGAGAGGGUGACCGGCCAAAAUGGGACUGGGAUACGGCCCAGAAUCCUACGGGAGGCAGCAGUGGGGAAUAUUGCAAAAUGGGGGGAAGCCUGAUGCAGCAACGCCGUGGGCGGGAUGAAGGGCUUCGGGUUGGAAACCGCUUUCGCUCAUGACGAAGCUUUGUGUGACGGUAGUGGGUAAAGAAGCACCGGCUAACUACGUG
RNAcentral lists this ribosomal RNA (467 nucleotides) under uncultured bacterium. RNAcentral's name for it is "partial 16S ribosomal RNA". It matches the Rfam family "Bacterial small subunit ribosomal RNA", at positions 28 to 507 of the family's 1533-position model. The record is from RNAcentral.